CAUCUGUUACCAGCACGCAAAACCUGACUGGAUCAGGGCCAUUAGGAAAAAUAAACAAAAAUACAUUCUUUGUUUUCUUUACAAGACUUAUUGUAAUUCUCUCAAGAACAUGAUCUUUCCCCACAGGAGUAAGAUUUUAAGAGUCAUAUACAAAAAAAAAAAAAAAACUGAAGACAUUAGAUCAGUGCCAGAGAGAGUGUUCCUGGAAACUUCGAGAGUCAUUUGGAUCUAGCCUGAAACAACGCAGGGAACCAGCUUCCCUCUUCUCUGACCUUAAAUUUAUCUUUUCCCUGCUGUCUGAGGAUGCAUUUUUCCCCUGAGAAAUUCCAGAGCCCAGAUAACAAGCCUAUCCAGAUUCCUCUGUGGAGCCUUCCUACCAUCAAGCAGAUCAACACUCCCACCCACCUUGGUGUCAUCUGCAAACUUACUGAGGGUGUACUCGAUCCCUUGGUGCCAACUCGAUCUUCAUUAUACUGAAGAGAACUGGCCCCAGUACUGAGUGCUGGGGGACAUCUUUUGCAACCACAACCUCCAGCUGGAUUUAACUCUGUUCACCUCCUUGGGCCGGCCACACAGCCAGUUUUUUUAUCCAGUGAAGCCUAUGCCCAUCCAAGCCUUGAGCAUCCAGUUUCUCCAGAAGAAUGCUGUGGGAAACAGUGUCAAAAGCUUUACUAAACUCUAGGUAGACAACAUCCACAGCCUUUCCCUUAUCCACUAAGCAUGUUACCUUGUCAUAGAAGGAGAUCAGGUUAGUCCAGCAGGACCCGUCUUUCUUAAACCCUUGUUGACUGGACUUUCAAGACUGGACCUUGGCAUUCAAGAUGAUCUGCUCCACGAGCUUCCCCAGCACUGAAGGAUUGUGCACAGAUCUAAAAAGAACAUAGCAUUCACUUUUCACAGGUUGUGAAAUGGGAGAGCAUUGAUAGUUGCAUUUAAUAGGAUGGUUGAAGAAAAUCUCUGUACAGCUGUUCUAGGACUUUGUAACUCUCUGUAAUUUUAAACAUUAGAGUGCUCUGUACUCAAACCAGAGAUAAUUUCCUGAGUACUAGUUAGCUUAUAAAAUCUUAACCUGUUCCAAACCCAGUAAUUUGAAGGCAUACAAAUUCCUGGAAGUUAUUAUCCUUCUUCCCAUAAAAAGUACAAAACAACAACAGAAGUGAAGCUAAUGGUUUAAAUAAAUGAAUAAGGAAACCUCCCUUCCCCACAUAUCAAGCUGCGGUGAAAGUUCAUGGUUCUAUUUAACAUUUUUGCAGCACAUAAAGGAUGGCAAGGUCAUACUUUAUUAUAUUUAUUUUUUUUAAAUAAAUAAAUAUGGGCAGGCAGAUUUGACAAGGAAUGAAUAAGAGACCUAAGAGACCUAAAAUAUUCAAAAAGAGCACUUGGAGACUAGUCUGGAUGCUUUGGAGUGCAUAAAAUGGUAAUAGAUACAUGCUUAGGUAAUUAAAUCUCAAUCCUAGCUUUAGUGAUGGGCACAACAAAAGUUCCAAAUGAUUCCCUAGCUUCUUUAAGUGGAAAUCUAAGAUCAGUCAGGCUGCAAAUAUAGCAAUGCUUUUCUUCUCUGUGUUCAACUCAGUGUCUAUGAGAUCAAAGACUAAAUGAUUUGCUAUCUAAAUGGAUAGCCAAUGUGAA
Long non-coding RNA from Anas platyrhynchos (mallard), 1629 nucleotides. RefSeq lists it as uncharacterized. Lineage: Eukaryota; Metazoa; Chordata; Aves; Anseriformes; Anatidae. The record is from RefSeq and is a predicted model, not a curated record.